GAUGAACGCUGGCGGCGUGCCUAAUACAUGCAAGUAGAACGCUGAAGGAGGAGCUUGCUCUUCUGGAUGAGUUGCGAACGGGUGAGUAACGCGUAGGUAACCUGCCUGGUAGCGGGGGAUAACUAUUGGAAACGAUAGCUAAUACCGCAUGACAACAGUUAUUGCAUGAUAACUGUUUAAAAGGGGCAACUGCUCCACUACCAGAUGGACCUGCGUUGUAUUAGCUAGUUGGUGAGGUAACGGCUCACCAAGGCGACGAUACAUAGCCGACCUGAGAGGGUGAUCGGCCACACUGGGAAUGGGACACGGCCCAGACUCCUACGGGAGGCAGCAGUAGGGAAUCUUCGGCAAUGGACGGAAGUCUGACCGAGCAACGCCGCGUGAGUGAAGAAGGUUUUCGGAUCGUAAAGCUCUGUUGUAAGAGAAGAACGAGUGUGAGAGUGGAAAGUUCACACUGUGACGGUAUCUUACCAGAAAGGGACGGCUAACUACGUG
This 495-nucleotide ribosomal RNA is filed under the name uncultured bacterium. Its description in RNAcentral is "partial 16S ribosomal RNA". It matches the Rfam family "Bacterial small subunit ribosomal RNA", at positions 28 to 507 of the family's 1533-position model. The record is from RNAcentral.